RNAcentral lists this unclassified non-coding RNA (222 nucleotides) under Hevea brasiliensis (rubber tree). Lineage: Eukaryota; Viridiplantae; Streptophyta; Magnoliopsida; Malpighiales; Euphorbiaceae. The record is from RNAcentral.
GUUAUAUUGGUAAUUAACCAACGUACUCUCAUUUCAAUCAUACACAUCACUGAAGUGAAGAUGAAUGAUUUGAAUUGUGACUGCUUCGCAUUGGUAUAAAAGACUCUAAACAAGACAUCAAGUAAAGAUAUUCUGCCCGAGAAAAUGUUAUCAAGUUGAUGAUCUUGAUUCUUGAUAUUUGAUCACACAAAUCAUUCAUCCACAUUAUGGGUCUCAUUUCGU